This 685-nucleotide small RNA is filed under the name Oryza sativa Japonica Group (Japanese rice). RNAcentral's name for it is "sRNA Os09g0279050". The record is from RNAcentral. Lineage: Eukaryota; Viridiplantae; Streptophyta; Magnoliopsida; Poales; Poaceae.
ACAUCAGAACGUCCAUAUCCUUAUGUUCAAGGAACAAAUAGAUUAGUAUUUACCACUUUCACCAUCAGAUGCCUCAGCAAGCCUUGCGAUGGCAUCAAUCAACGAUUGCUCUUGCUCCUGCAAACAUUGCGUGUUACUUGAAAAUGAAAGGCUUAAAUAAUAUGCACAAAAGUUGUGUUUUACCUUCAGCACUUUCUUUGCCUUCUCUACCUCCAGGGGAUCUGGAUUAUUAAUACUAAAAACCCUCUCCACCUAUGUCAAAAGAUAAAUCACAAUAAUGCACACGAUGUUUGUGGUUAUUAAUAACAAAAAUAUGUUACCAGACUAACCUCUUUUAUGAGGCUCUCGGUAUGAAGUAUAUCAAUGUCAUCAGAACUUCUCUUGCCAACUCCAUUUUGUGAGGGUGGAAAAUCCUUCCGGGAUACAUGCUUUGGUAAUCCCCUCCCCCUUCCUGUACCUGGUGUUGGACCACCUCGGCUAGAUGACUUCUUGCCUCCACUACCUGGAGCACCUCGGACUCCCUGAUAUAUCCCAGGGUCAUCACCUUGCCAUCUUAUAUCUUCAGGUCCCAUCUGUAAUUUAGCAACCCAAGCAAUAAGAAAAAGUCCACACAGAUGAUUUUGAUGUACAUUACUAAUUAGUGCCCUUAAGAACAAAAAGGUGAGAUUCAUGCUAUGAACAAAAA